UCCGUGUUGUUAGCUCUUCUCCGGGAACUGGGGCUAAUUUCCGAUAGGUGAAGACUCCUGGAAUGGAUCUCCGCCUAAAGGGCACUUAGGCCAUGCUUCUAGGCGUCGCCCAAGGAUGGGGCCGCGGCCGAUCAGGUUGUUGGUGAGGUAAUGGCUCACCAAGCCUUUAACCGGUUCGGGCCGUGGGAGCGGGAGCCCGGAGAUGGGCACUGAGACAAGGGCCCAGGCCCUACGGGGCGCAGCAGUUACGAAAAUUUCGCAAUAAGCGAAAGCUUGACGGAGCUAUCCCGAGUGCCGUCCGCUGAGGAUGGCUUUUCCCCAGUGUAGAUAGCUGGGGGAAUAAGGAGAGGGCAAGUCUGGUGUCAGCCGCCGCGGUAAUACCAGCUCUCCGAGUGGUGAGGACGUUUAUUGGGCCUGAAGCAUCCGUAGCCGGCUGGGCAAGUCCCCAGUUAAAUCCAGCGAUCUAAUCGUUGGACUGCUGGGGAUACUGUCUGGCUAGGGGGUGGGAGAGGCCGACGGUAUUCCCGGGGUAGGGGUGAAAUCCUAUAAUCCCGGGAGGACCACCAGUGGCGAAGGCUGUCGGCUAGAACAUGCCCGACGGUGAGGGAUGAAAGCUGGGGGAGCGAACCGGAUUAGAUACCCGGGUAGUCCCAGCUGUAAACGAUGCAGGCUAGGUGUUAGGGCGGCCACGUGCCGCUCUAGUGCCGCAGGGAAGCUGUUAAGCCUGCCGCCUGGGGAGUACGGCCGCAAGGCUGAAACUUAAAGGAAUUGGCGGGGGAGCAC
This 783-nucleotide ribosomal RNA is filed under the name uncultured archaeon. RNAcentral's name for it is "bacterial SSU rRNA". It matches the Rfam family "Archaeal small subunit ribosomal RNA", at positions 112 to 879 of the family's 1478-position model. The record is from RNAcentral.